GACGAACGCUGGCGGCGUGCCUAAUACAUGCAAGUUGAGCGCUGAAGGUUGGUACUUGUACCAACUGGAUGAGCAGCGAACGGGUGAGUAACGCGUGGGGAAUCUGCCUUUGAGCGGGGGACAACAUUUGGAAACGAAUGCUAAUACCGCAUAAAAACUUUAAACACAAGUUUUAAGUUUGAAAGAUGCAAUUGCAUCACUCAAAGAUGAUCCCGCGUUGUAUUAGCUAGUUGGUGAGGUAAAGGCUCACCAAGGCGAUGAUACAUAGCCGACCUGAGAGGGUGAUCGGCCACAUUGGGACUGAGACACGGCCCAAACUCCUACGGGAGGCAGCAGUAGGGAAUCUUCGGCAAUGGACGAAAGUCUGACCGAGCAACGCCGCGGGAGUGAAGAAGGUUGUCGGAUCGUAAAACUCUGUUGGUAGAGAAGAGCGUUGGUGAGAGUGGAAAGCUCAUCAAGUGACGGUAACUACCCAGAAAGGGACGGCUAACUACGUG
This 497-nucleotide ribosomal RNA is filed under the name uncultured bacterium. Its description in RNAcentral is "partial 16S ribosomal RNA". It matches the Rfam family "Bacterial small subunit ribosomal RNA", at positions 28 to 507 of the family's 1533-position model. The record is from RNAcentral.